AGUGAACGCUGGCGGCAGGCCUAACACAUGCAAGUCGAACGGCAGCGGGUCAGUAGCAAUACUGAUGCCGGCGAGUGGCGGACGGGUGAGGAAUACAUCGGAAUCUACCUUGUCGUGGGGGAUAACGUAGGGAAACUUACGCUAAUACCGCAUACGAACUAUGGUUGAAAGCGGCGGACCGCAAGGCGUCGCGCGAUUGGAUGAGCCGAUGUCCGAUUAGCUAGUUGGCGGGGUAAAGGCCCACCAAGGCGACGAUCGGUAGCUGGUCUGAGAGGAUGAUCAGCCACACUGGGACUGAGACACGGCCCAGACUCCUACGGGAGGCAGCAGUGGGGAAUAUUGGACAAUGGGCGAAAGCCUGAUCCAGCAAUGCCGCGUGAGUGAUGAAGGCCUUAGGGGUUGUUAAGGCUCUUUUACCCGGGAUGAUAAUGACAGUACCGGGAGAAUAAG
RNAcentral lists this ribosomal RNA (450 nucleotides) under uncultured bacterium. Its description in RNAcentral is "bacterial SSU rRNA". It matches the Rfam family "Bacterial small subunit ribosomal RNA", at positions 29 to 490 of the family's 1533-position model. The record is from RNAcentral.